Molecule: ribosomal RNA, 783 nt
Filed under: uncultured bacterium
Lineage: Bacteria
Description: bacterial SSU rRNA
Rfam family: Bacterial small subunit ribosomal RNA
Source: RNAcentral
AGAGUUUGAUCCUGGCUCAGGACGAACGCUGGCGGCGUGCUUAACACAUGCAAGUCGAACGGUAAGGCCCUUCGGGGUACACGAGUGGCGAACGGGUGAGUAACACGUGGGUAAUCUGCCCUGCACAUCGGGAUAAGCCUGGGAAACUGGGUCUAAUACCGAAUAGGACCACAGGACACAUGUCCUGUGGUGGAAAGCUUUUGCGGUGUGGGAUGGGCCCGCGGCCUAUCAGCUUGUUGGUGGGGUGAUGGCCUACCAAGGCGACGACGGGUAGCCGGCCUGAGAGGGUGUCCGGCCACACUGGGACUGAGAUACGGCCCAGACUCCUACGGGAGGCAGCAGUGGGGAAUAUUGCACAAUGGGCGAAAGCCUGAUGCAGCGACGCCGCGUGGGGGAUGACGGCCUUCGGGUUGUAAACCUCUUUCACCAUCGACGAAGGUCCGGGUUUUCUCGGGCUGACGGUAGGUGGAGAAGAAGCACCGGCCAACUACGUGCCAGCAGCCGCGGUAAUACGUAGGGUGCGAGCGUUGUCCGGAAUUACUGGGCGUAAAGAGCUCGUAGGUGGUUUGUCGCGUUGUUCGUGAAAUCUCACGGCUUAACUGUGAGCGUGCGAGCGAUACGGGCAGACUUGAGUACUGCAGGGGAGACUGGAAUUCCUGGUGUAGCGGUGGAAUGCGCAGAUAUCAGGAGGAACACCGGUGGCAAAGGCGGGUCUCUGGGCAGUAACUGACGCUGAGGAGCGAAAGCGUGGGGAGCGAACAGGAUUAGAUACCCUGGUAGUCC